RNAcentral lists this long non-coding RNA (5118 nucleotides) under Sus scrofa (pig). Its description in RNAcentral is "lncRNA (ENSSSCG00050041824.1)". The record is from RNAcentral. Lineage: Eukaryota; Metazoa; Chordata; Mammalia; Artiodactyla; Suidae.
GCCGUGUCCACAGCAGAAUCCAGUUUGCAGUUUCCAGCCUUUGCAGAACGAGCCUCAUCAGACCCCCAUCAGAAACACCAGCCGCCACAUGAGGUGAGUAGCACACCCUCCUCAGAGGUCUGGGUCCCAGCUUCCUGGAGCCCCCUUUCUCUAAGCUUUGAAGUUAUAACAAUUCCCUUCUCUUUCCUUUGUGCUCACGCGCUGGGGGUGGUUGCAGGUUUUGGCUUUCUACUCUAAGAUACCUUCCAGUUUUCUUCCCCAUUUGAGUUACCUCCUUACCAACUUUAUGCCUACUUCACAUUUUAUAUACAAAAUCCUGUCUGUUCAAAUAACUAAUGGGGCAGAGCCUUCUUGCCUGCCCGCUUGCAUCUCUUACAAGCGUCCUAUCGUAAUAAAUCGAUUCCUUGCAUAAAAAAAAAACCAAAAAAGCAAACAAAAAUACCCCAAAUAACUAAUGGGACUUCUGCCUCCGACUGGUCCCUAACUGAGAGGUACCCCAACUCCCAGCAGUCGUUGGUUGAAGGCUGCCUCUAGGAAGGUUCAUUACCCAUCAUUUUCCAGCAGCUACAGGGGUGGCAAAGCUGACUCCAGUAGAAGGGCAGGCUCCAGUGGCAAGAGAAAACCCUCAGGCAAAGUACUCCAGGACCUAGCGAUUGGAAGUUGGGCCAGUGUGCACUAAAGUGAUAAGGGGGAGGGACCAAGGGCGGGGGGAGUGACAAGGUUUGCUAUACAGUUGAAUGCCCUUUAUAAAAUAUUAAUUUCUCAUUCCACGAGCAAUAAUUAUCUUUGAAAGACACUUAAGUCAAUAAGAAUAAGGCUCAAGUCCUUUCAGUCACCAUCCCCCAUCCUGAUUCCCUUCCCUUCCCAGAGGUAACCUCCGUUAGUAGUUAUCAUUUACAUGUACUUUUCUACAUAUAUAUGCUUAUAAAACAUAUGGCAUUAUUUUGUAGGUUUUUUGUUUUUGUUUCAUAGUAUACCUGUCUUUUUGCACUUUGCUCUAUUCACAAAACAAUUUGUCUUGGGAGUCAUUCCAUAUUAUGACACAUAGAUCUACCUAUUUCUUUUUAACGGCCUCAUAAUAUUCCCAAGGUGCAUAUUCCAUUGUUUAUUUCACUGUCACUCUGUGUUCACAAUUAACAAAAUCCUAUGAUUAAUGGCCAUGUCUUUUGUGUCAUUGUACCUGUUUAGGAGUGUUUCUGUAGGGUAGAUACAGACUGGAAAUGCUUGGGGGGGGCGGUCAGAGAAAAUGCCUUUCUUUUUUUUUUUUUUUUUAAUUUGGCUGCAUUUGCAGCACAUAGAAGUUCCUGGGCCAGGGAUCAAAUCCGAGCUGCAGCAGUGACCCGAGCUGCCACAGAGACAAAGCUUAACCUGCUGCACCACAAGGGAACUCCUGAGAAUGAAUAUUUUAAAACUGACAUUAAGUGUCAAAAAUAUGUCCUCCAAAAUGUAGUUCCAAUUUACAAGCUGUAAUGUUGUGGUUUAUAAUAAGAAGUAUAUAUUUGGUCUCCCUCCUCAUUUCUGGCAGUUCCUAAAACCCUUGGAAUUUCCUAAGUGAUAGAAGCAACAAAGGUAUCUUUGUUAUGUUAAUGAGGUGACUCCUGAACGGCACCUGGGGAUGCGGGCUGGUUGCCAGGGAAACCAACCUAGAGAUUAGAACUUUUAGUCUUACCUUCUAACCCUGGGGGAGGGGAGGCGAGGGGAGCCGGAGGUUGAAUCCAUCGCCAAUGGGCCAAUGAUUUAAUCGAUCUUAACUAAAUAAUGAAGGCUCCUUAAAAACCAAACUGAUAGGGUCUAGAGUGCUUCUGGGUUGGUGAACACGUGGUGAUCCGGGCAGAGUAUCGUGCCCGCAGAGGACACGCAAGCUCCACGCCCUUUCCCCACACAUGGCCCUAAGAAUCUCUUCCAUCCGGCUAUUCCUCGGUCAUAUCCUUUUAUAAUAAACAGGUAAUCUACUAAGUCAAAUGCUUCUCUUAGUUCUUCUCUGAGUUCUGUGAGCCACUCUAGCAAAUUAAGUGAACCCAAGGAGGGAGUCGUUGUGCUUGGAACUAGCGUCUGAAGUUGGAGGGUGGGGGUAGGGGCAGUCUUAGAGGACUGAACCUUUAACCUGUGGAAUCUGAUGCUGUCUCCUGUAGUGUCAGAAUUUAGCUGAAUUCUUGGACACUGGUGUGGUGUCCAAGAAUUGCUUGGUGUUGUGUGGGAAGCAACCCCCCCAAAAAAAACCCACCAAAAAAUGAAAAACCACACACACACGCUAAUUGGAUCCUGGAACCCAGGAGUUGGUGUCAGUGAACUGGGGUUUGCCAGAACCAUCCUGUCUCCUAGAAACUUACGAUUUGGGAAGAGAAAGGGUGAAAGGGGGUGAGGGUGGGGGAGUACUUAUAACCUUAUUGCUACAAAACCCUAAACUUGUUUAAAAAGCCUUAGCGAAUUUGCUCUUCUGCUUCCCCGCUAAGGGUCUUACAGAUGCUAAUACAAAACAUUAGGUUAAUUAACAAGAGAAUCAGAAGAAGCUGAGAGGAGACUCAACGCUGCUUCCUUACCAGGAGGAAAUUUUUAGACCUUUUCUUUUUUUCUUUCUUUUUUUUUUUUUGGCUUUUUGGGGCUACCCCUAUGGCAUAUGGAGGUUCCCAGGCCAGGGGUCGAAUUGGAGCUGUAAUUGCUGGCCUACAACCUACACCACAGCUCACGGCAACGCUGGAUUCUUAACCCACUGAGCGAGCGAGGCCAGGGAUCGAACCUGCGUCCUCAUGUAUGCUAGUCAGAUUCGUUGACUGCUGAGCCUCGACGGGAACUCCUAGACUAUUUUUAUUUUUUAUUUUUUUGGCUGUGCCCGCAGUAUGUGCAACUUCCCAGGCCAGGGAUUGAACCUGAGCCACAGUGACAAUGCUGGAUCCUUAACCCAACGGCGCCACCGGAGAACUAAACUAUUUUUAAGAGAUGAGGUGAAUAAAGUGAAUAUUGACAGGGCGAAACAAAGAGGAAUCAGAAAGGAGAGUCUAAGGGCUUCCAGGAGGGUGGAAAUCUUUAGAUGGUUAUUUAGAAACGGGAUGAAUAAAAUGGACAUGAUGGGAUUAGAACAAAGGUUUAAUACAGCGCUACCUGAGAUUGGGUGAGUCAAAGGAUCCCUUAUCAGCUCCCAAUAUCAGAGGGCCCCAAACAAGUCCAUUCUAUUUUCCCUGAGUCCUGAGACGUUUGAAAAGCUAUCCACCAAAAACUGCAAUGAGAAACCUGACCAGGAAUUGCUUGGGAGCAGUGGUCCCUAGACCCCUCGCUGGGGACCCAAAGCCUUUUACACAAGAGUGAGUAAAACGGUCAGGGGGUGAAGAAGUUUCCUUUACUCUUUGAUAUAAGAAUCUCAUGAACCCACUGGGGAAGCCUUUUCUUGGGGCUAGACCGAGAGACAGUAAAUAUGUAAUGGCCGAGAGAAUGCUGCAAGUUGAAAUGUCUAAGCAGAUAAUCAUGUAAAGAAGUCGUGUCAGCUUUUCCUGACUGUUUCAUGGGAAUGGCUAUUGUGUCUGGGGGGGGAACCCGUCCCCUUCCUGGUGUCAGAAAACCAAAACUGGACGAAGUCCUGACGGAGGCGACAGUUGGGAGCGCAGUGGGGGGUGGAAUUAAGACAGAGGUUUGUCGCAGACUCGGUGUUGGAACAGGCUUUACGGGAAGUGGUCUCUUUUACCCGAUUGGAAGGUUGUCCCGGCUCCUACUGUAAAAACAAACGCUUGGGACGCUCCCCCUCCAGCAAUGUUAAUGGGACUUGCUAACUGGGACCCAGUAAGAGGGCCUGAGCCCACGCAAUGUGGAGUAGAGGCCGGAGUGCCAGGAGGGACAGGGUCUCUGCCGUAGCCCUUCCUGGAAUGUAGCCUGGGGCUCAUGGCAAGAGUUUGUGGGCGAGCCCAGCAACAACUGGGACUUUGAGGGAGUUCCCGCUGUGGUGCCGUGGCCUAAGAAUCUGACUGCAGGGAGUUCCCAUGGUGGCUCAGCAGUAACGAACCCGACUAGAAUCCUUGGGGAUUCGGGUUCAAUCCCUGGCCUCGCUCACUGGGAUUCAGUCCCUGGCCCUGGAACCGCCGUAUGCCUCGGGCUCAGCGGUAAAAGAAGCUCCCCCCAACCCCACCCCCAGAAAACUGGGACUUUGAACUAGAGGAUUCCCAUUUGAGAGCUAUUUACUCCCUUGUUAUGGAGCAUCAUUAAUUGAAGCCAUCCCUGUGACGGAAGGACAUAAAGUGAUCUUAAAUCGGAAACAGUUAAAAUGUCUAGGACGAUGUGGGCGAAAUGCCCUACCGGGGAUGGCAGUGCCCAGAAGACUUCCAGAACGAUGUGGAAACGGGUUAUCCGGGAUCUCACUGUCGGGAGGAUGCAAGGAGAGCAUCCUCAGGCGCAGGGAGCCUCUUUCCCUCUAGAACUGACUCCGGGGCUGUGUGAGGAGCUGCUGGCUCCCGUCAUCACCAGGACAGUGCCCUGUGAACAGCUGAGCCACAAGAGCUGCUUGGUUCGGGGAGGGCAGCUCCACAGUAAACGGACGCCGUCCUGUUGGGGAGGCUGCUCUGGUCCAAGGGAAAAACAAAAUGCAAUUCGAGGGCCUGAAUUGUAUGCUGUCCUCUCGGCAGCGAUGGAAGAGUUGAACAGUGGUGAAGCCCCUCUGUUUGGUUUUUACUGGCUCAGGGGCAGCGGCCAAUGGCCUGGCCAGUAUGUUCAGGCAGAGGCAAUGGAAACCGGGCCUAUGAAAGGGGUGCCCGUGUAGGAAUCACUGUGGGAAUUUGAGGGGUGCAUCAAGGCAGGCAGGACAUGCCAAUGCCUGUCAGAAGGACCCCGCUUCCGGGUUUCGAAGGUGACUUCGAUCAACAAGCAGAUCUUGGGAGUGCCUGUGGGGCUCAGGGCGUUAAGAAUCCGACUGGUAUGCAUGAGGAUGUGGGUUCGAUCCCUGGCCUCGCUCAGUGGGUUAAAGGAUCCGGCAUUGGUGCGAGCUGUGGUGUAGGUCGCAGACAUGGCUCGGAUCUGGUGUGGCUGUGGUGUAGGCCAGCAGCCACAGCUCUGAUUGGACCCCUAGCCUGGGAACUUCCUAGGGUGCAGCCCUACAAAGCCAAAAAAAAAACCAAAAAAAAAAAACCAAAAAAAAAA